GGUUAGACCCCCGCUGGGGGAUUAGCGGGCGGCGAGGGCCGCCGGCACGCGAUCCGCCCUCAGAGCCCCGCGGGCUGCGAUCAAACUGGGUCCCAGAGUCCGUGGGAGCGGGGGUCGGGGGCGGCAGCUCGCAGGACGUUCCCGGCGCGGCGCUGGGGGACGCGAGCCAGGGUCUUGCUGGGCUGCCCAGGAUGGUGUCAGAUCCCUGGGCUCAAGAGAUCCUCCUGCCUCAACCUCCUGAGUACUGAGACUACUGGUUCCCCACCCAGGCCUGAGUCCAGAGCCACCAGCAACAAAUGGCCACAGGCUGCAUCUGUUGCCCCAGAAGUUGCCAUGAAGCCGCCGAUGGUUGGGAUGGAGAUGAGGAUUUCUCAGCUGGUCCCUUGCAUGGACAUAUAUGGAGUUUAACAAUCUGCUUUCUCAUUUGUGAUUCCUUCAUAAAGAGACCCCCAUUUUAAGAGAAUUACAGCAUCCUGCAACGAUCCAUUCUUUGGGCCUGACUUCUGUGCCCCAUGUUUCCUCAGCCUUC
This 529-nucleotide long non-coding RNA is filed under the name Ictidomys tridecemlineatus (thirteen-lined ground squirrel). RNAcentral's name for it is "lncRNA (ENSSTOG00000034884.1)". Lineage: Eukaryota; Metazoa; Chordata; Mammalia; Rodentia; Sciuridae. The record is from RNAcentral.